ACCCGCUGAACUUAAGCAUAUCAAUAAGCGGAGGAAAAGAAACUAACAAGGAUUCCCCUAGUAACUGCGAGUGAAGCGGGAAAAGCUCAAAUUUGAAAUCUGGCGGCUCCGCCGUCCGAGUCGUAUUCUGGAGAAGCGUUUUCCGUGCUGGACCGUGUACAAGUCCCUUGGAACAGGGCGUCAUAGAGGGUGAGAAUCCCGUCUUUGACACGGACUACCAGUGCUCUGUGAUGCGCUCUCGAAGAGUCGAGUUGUUUGGGAAUGCAGCUCAAAAUGGGUGGUAAAUUCCAUCUAAAGCUAAAUAUUGGCGAGAGACCGAUAGCGAACAAGUACCGUGAGGGAAAGAUGAAAAGCACUUUGGAAAGAGAGUGAAACAGUACGUGAAAUUGUUGAAAGGGAAACGCUUGAAGUCAGUCGCGUCUUCUGGAACUCAGCCUUGCUUCUGCUUGGUGCACUUUCCAGUUUGACGGGUCAGCAUCGGUUUUGGUGGGCAGACAAAGGCGCGAGGAAGGUGGCCGCUCCGGCGGUGUUAUAGCCUCGCGUUGUAUGUGUCCGCUGGGACCGAGGAAUCCGGCGCUUGCGCCUGGGAUGCUGGCGUAAUGGCUCUAAGCGACCCGUCUUGAAACACGG
Molecule: ribosomal RNA, 630 nt
Filed under: uncultured fungus
Lineage: Eukaryota; Fungi
Description: eukaryotic LSU rRNA
Rfam family: Eukaryotic large subunit ribosomal RNA
Source: RNAcentral